This 117-nucleotide ribosomal RNA is filed under the name Bacillota bacterium. Lineage: Bacteria; Bacillati; Bacillota. The record is from RNAcentral.
UCUCGUGAUUAUAGCAAGGAUGUUACACCUGUUCCCAUCUCGAACACAGUAGUUAAGCUCCUUAACGGCGAAGAUACUUGGCGGGAAGCCACCUGGGAAAAUAGCAAGUCGCGGGUU